GCCGCCGCCGCCGCCGCCGCCCUGCGCGGCCGGGCCGUGUCCUGCUCGCACCCGAGCGCGCGCUCCUCCCUCGCCGGAGCCUGGGACCAGGGGCCGCACCCGCAGACAGAGUUUCACUCUUGUUGCCCAGGCUGGAAUGCAAUGACGUGAUCUCAGCUCACCGCAACCUCCACCUCCCAGCUGACUGGGACCUUCCUGAUGUUCUGUCCCCUCUGUGGAUGGGGCCUGGGUGUCCAGCCCAGAUGUCUGGGUUCUGCAUGAAGGAGGUGAAAAGAACAGAGCCCUUGCUGAAUGGCCUUGCGCAGCAGGGGCCCAGCUGAUUCUGGUGUCUGGUGGUCGGGCCAGGCUGAGAAGAGGAUGUGCUUUACUGACCGGCACUCUUCCCGGUACUGGGUUGGAGACAAGGCAUGAGAACCAAG
Rhinopithecus roxellana (golden snub-nosed monkey) is the source of this 419-nucleotide long non-coding RNA. RefSeq lists it as uncharacterized. The transcript is spliced from 4 exons. The record is from RefSeq and is a predicted model, not a curated record. Lineage: Eukaryota; Metazoa; Chordata; Mammalia; Primates; Cercopithecidae.